This 176-nucleotide ribosomal RNA is filed under the name Bacillus sp. (in: firmicutes). RNAcentral describes it as "Bacillus sp. (in: Bacteria) partial 16S ribosomal RNA". It matches the Rfam family "Bacterial small subunit ribosomal RNA", at positions 1363 to 1533 of the family's 1533-position model. Lineage: Bacteria; Bacillati; Bacillota; Bacilli; Caryophanales; Bacillaceae. The record is from RNAcentral.
UGAAUACGUUCCCGGGUCUUGUACUCACCGCCCGUCACACCAUGGGAGUUGAUUUCACCCGAAAUCGGGAAGCCAACCUUCGGGGGGCUACCGCUUACGGUGGAAUUAGCGACUGGGGUGAAGUCGUAACAAGGUAACCGUAGGAGAACCUGCGGUUGGAUCACCUCCUUUCUAGA